RNAcentral lists this long non-coding RNA (199 nucleotides) under Phoenix dactylifera (date palm). RNAcentral's name for it is "long non-coding RNA (PDAC_LNC014261)". Lineage: Eukaryota; Viridiplantae; Streptophyta; Magnoliopsida; Arecales; Arecaceae. The record is from RNAcentral.
GCUGUGUUUGAGCAGCAUUGAUGUGUUCUUGCACGAGUUCGGGAAAUUGGGGUGCUGAGGGGCACUCAUGAAUAGGAUGGGAUGGGCUAGAACAGAUAGCACACACUUGUGCUUGGGAAGAGUUAAUGAAAUGUCCACCUAUCAUCAGUUGGUCAAUCUUAUGGGACAAUGCAUCUACCUUGCUAGACAGGUCCAUAGA